This 35923-nucleotide long non-coding RNA is filed under the name Pelobates cultripes (western spadefoot toad). Lineage: Eukaryota; Metazoa; Chordata; Amphibia; Anura; Pelobatidae. The record is from RNAcentral.
AUUUACCAUUGCAAAAUUUCCCAAAUACAAACUGUGCCAAGCUCCACCAAACCUUCAUUCUCGGGCUCCUGACUUUGUACUUGGCCCUUACCGAUGCACUUUCUGAUUUCACAACAGCACUGAAGGGCUACAAUUAACGUGUCUGGGUGGAAGUUUCAUUAUGAAAAUGUGGGAAAUUCCCCACUAUACCAGGAAUAAAAGAGAGAGACAGAAACUGCUUUCACUUUAGUUGGAGCUGCACAGGGAGACGGAUCUCUAACUGCUGGGGGAACGUGAAAGAGAAUUUGUGAAGAGAGGCUAAAGUAGCGAUGGGGAGUUCGUGGAGAGACACGUGCUGGUAAGGGCUAAGAACAACCAAGGUAUGUUUAAAACUCACUAUUAAAUAGAAGGAAAAUGACUGGCACAUUAAAUUCUAUUCUCUGGGCCAUAUCCUCUAAACAGUGAAUUGUGGUAAACUGAGAAACGAAUAUUGGAACGUUGGAAAUAUAGCUGAGUUGAAGAUGUGUUCUAACUUCACUACUUUGGCCUUAAUUUUGCAAAUUUGACUUCCAGUUCACCACAUAUCACUAUUUAGUGAAUACGCCCCUCUUCAUUCCUGCCUGGUUACCUGUGCAAAGGGCAACGUCAGGAAAAAGGGCAGCAUGCGUAUUGUACUUCACACAUCCUGUGGCUCUCCUGACGGAUUAUAUUCUGCAACAGACUCUGCUUUAGCACGAACGGCAGCCUCUGACAGCCAUGCUUACCAUUUAACAUUGUCUGGAAGGUGAUUUUAGGAGCCGGUGGGGUUCAGUCAUGUUGAAUUGUGUCUGGCUAUUUGCUUGAUUCCAGCAGAAUCCAUGUCAAUGUGAAGGAGAAGAGAAGCGUCCCAGUCCGAGGGUUUGCCAGUGAUCUGUCUGCUGUGCUCUUUUUGCAAGCACGCCAUGGGCGAAUAGCAUUUAUCAAAAUCUCACCCUGUCCCUCCUAUGGGCUUUUCUCUUUUUCCAUAAGAACUUCCGUCUGUUCAGAAUACUUUCAGUUUCAUACUGAGAAAAUGAAUGGUCAGGCAGCAUGCACAAUCCUUUCCAGAUGUAUUGCUAGUGUGAGAGUUUUCACGCUGUGUGAUCAGGAGCAGCAUUUUAACCCCUUACUGGCACUGCUUCUUUGGACGUAUGCUAAUGUAGCAUAUCCUCAGGUGUAAUUUAACCCUCGUUCAUGCAAACUGUGUACCUUGUGAACCGCUUGCUUUUGGGAAUCAUACCUGCCUCAGACUGAACUUUGACCUUCCACGCAGAGGAGGUGUGCGCCAUUCUUUAGUAUACAUUGACCCUUAAGUCUACCUGUACCCUUUGUAGUUUCUUAAGUCAAAGGGUACAGGUAAUCUAUCAAUUGAGCACUUAUACAAUCACUGGAUUUGGUUUUAGAGAGUCAUUAAGUUUACAUUUUAACUUGUGUUAUUCAGUAAAGCGAAAGGCAAAUGACUGGCUGCCGUAAAACUAACCUGUAUCUAUACCAGGGAUAGGCAACCUUCAGCACUCCAGAUGUUGUGGACCACACCUCCCAUAAUGCUCUUACACCCAUAAUGCUCGCAAAGCAUCAUGGGAGGUGUAGUCCAAAACAUCUGCAGUGCUGAAAGUUGCCUAUGCCUGAUCUAUACUGAUACAUGCUAUUUACUGCAGCAGCUGUCCGACAUAACAUAUUUUGUUAUAUCCAUGACUUUACUGAGAGAGUAGUGGAUGCAUGGAAUAGCCUUCCAGCUGAAGUGGUAGAGGUUAACACAGUGAAGGAGUUUAAGCAUGUGUGGGAUAGGCAUAAGGCUAUCCUAGAUAUAAGGUAAGGCCAGGGACUAAUGAAAGUAUUUAGAAAAUUGGGCAGACUAGAUGGGUUCUUAUCUGCCGUCGGUUCUUAUCUGCCAUCACAUUCUAUGUUUCUAUAUAACAAUAUAUAAAUAUAAAGAGAGAAAGACGUUGCAAUGCAUGCAGCAAUCAACAGCAUCUGUUUAUGGUGGUCAGUUUGGGGGUCUGUUUGAUGGAUGAAGAUGUCUCCUUGCAACCACAGUGAACAAAUGUACUAUUUCAAAUUAAAUUGUACUGAAGCAGAUUUUUGGGCGCUGUCUAUUUAAUCUAUAUUAAAAAAAAAAAAAGCUGACGCAGCUGUAUCAUAUGGAAGUUGAAAUCUGCUUUACAAAAAUGAUGUGUAACAUAUUUGAAAGGAGUGCAUUGUUUCACGUGCCUGUGUACCACGUACCCGUGUUUGAUUUCAGUGUACAUGUGCUUGUAUGGAGUGUACAUGUGCGUGUAUGCAGAACAGGAUUAACCAUGAAGCAAUUAUUAUAUGGCAACACUAGGUAGCGGUCUAGGACCCACAGUUAAUACAGGGGCCUCGCAUCCAUGAAUUUGCUUGGACCCACUAACAACAAUGUGAAGAAUGAAGGGAAGGCCCCAGGGACCCCAAACUGGGAUCUUAAAGGGACACUUCACUGCCCCAAAUCACUGCUUUUAAUUAUGCAUUGUUUCAUAGGGGGUUUAGCUAAAAAAAAGUUUGCAAAAGCUGCAGAUCUCUUGUUUGAAGCCUUUGCAAGCCAUCCCCUUCUAACCCUGCCAAGACUUUCUGUGGCUGUCCAAUCAAAGACAAGUGCGGUUCAAUGCGAAGCCUUUGCAAGGAAGGUGCUCUGAGCAAUUGCUGCCUCUUGAGUAUAGCUCCACUAAGCUAAUGAAACCAGGGAGUAAUAAGACCGAUUGUCUGCUUGAAAAGCCAAGGUGAUGUAACCACAUUCAUCUGUAAAGGUGAUAAUUUCUAUUUAAAUCUGCACUUUUUUUAACAUGAAAAAAGAGGACACACUAUUCACACAUAACGAUUUUCAGCAAGCUAAAGUAGUUUAGGUGUAACUCUUUAAUCCUUCUCUUCAAGUAUGUAGUAUAUUGUAUGCAAUCUGAGGAGAUUGGCCUUCAAAGCCAUUGCCUGAAUUUUAAUGACAAAAUGUAGGUAUUCCCCAGGCAGAAGCAAAAACAAAACCAAAUUUAAUCAUAGAUUAAAAACAGAUUAAUCAAAAACAGCAUUAGACAUAAUUAGUGAGCAUUGCAGUCCAUGUACUGGACUGUGAAACCAUUAAGUGAUACACAGCAGGAAAAAAAAUCACUAGUGCCAAAUUGGGACUGUCCUGUCAGAUCCAGGACUUCUGGAAAGUAUGCAAGGGUUCAGAGUCUUGUUCUGUACCUCUCAAAUGUCACACAAUUCGAGAUCCUUCUGUAUCUGAAAUCCCACUGUCCAUGUUUCAUGCAGUGAAGUUAUUUUCUCUAAGCCAAGCAUCCCAGUUAAUGGAUAACUAACAAUCAAAAUCUAGACUAAAUUUGCAGAAUUUGAACUCUGUGUUCGAGCGAAUAACCAAGUGCCACAGCACUAACCCUCAUACAGAAAUAUUUAGUAAACUCAGAUUUUCUGUGAUUUAAAUCCAGAUGUAAAACAAUAGCCUUGAAUUGUUUAUUAGGAAAAAUUCUCCAUCUCAACAAUAGUCACAAUUUGGCUCUUUGUGCCUCAGUUUUGCUGUUUGGAUUUUAUUAGCAAAAAUUAUAUUUCUGAAUAUUUAUUUUUUCUUCCAAAUGAUGUACAUAAAAAUAAACAGCAAUCCUUAGAGUGUUGAGUAAAUAUUUUCAAUAUUGCCCGUCUCUUAAACUAUCUGUCCAGGUAAACCUGAAAUAACGUUUCCCAUUAUUAAUAGACUAAAGACAUUUAAAAGUCUGCAUUAUUAGUUUGAGUAUUUAACAAGGAAGUUCACAUAUGACCCCACACCUCAGUUAUAUCCGUGAUCUAGAUAUUUUUAUUAACAUAUACAUUUUAUGGCGGGAACUGAACCUACGACUGUGUGAUAUUGUAGAGGGAGCUCUAACCACAUAUGACAAGGAAUAUCUUUAUAGAACAUAACACUUAAUGUUUACAUUGUGGUAGUCAGACUACUAGAAGAAAAUCUAACAGAAUCAGAAUCGCUAAAGCUGAUUGUAGUUGUGGUUAUGAUGCAAGAAGUCUUUUGCGUGGAGUUUUUCCAAGUUCUAACAAACCAUUUGCAAGUGGUUUGACAAAAAUGAAAAAAAAAAAAACAACAAAUCAGGCCUCUGUCAUUGAAACUAUGAAUGCCAUAAUGUUAUCUUAGGGGUGGCGUAGGCGUAGUGCAGCACCUACGGACUUUCAUUGGUGCACAAAUAACUUCACUGAGUACAGAUUUGCACUGAUAUCGGCAAAGUAAAACUAUAUUUGGGUGCCGCCAGGGUUCUGUUCUUUUUGGGUUUUUUUUAGUCAAGUAGCUUGAAAAAUGUUCGGCAAAAGCUGUACGGACUACACCCAAAAUCACCACGUAAUCCUAAAUACGAAAACAAACUGUAAUAAUUAGUGUCCCUUUAAGGUAACAUCAGAGAUUUCAUAUAUAACAUGCUGCCAAUUUAAUACCAUUAGAGUUUACAGAGCAGUGUAUUGCACACACACUUUAAGUAACUACUAUCGCGAAAGUAUUAUAAAUAAAUCGUCCUAUCGUAUUAUGCUGCAUUUUUGUUUCCUGUGGAUUCAGGUCGUUGAUCUGGCGUAGUCUUCAUGCCAAAACACUGAAUUGUUUCCAGUUUGGUUUUUUUCUAUAUUGUUGUUUGUUUGGUUGUUUUUAAUUCGAGAAUUAAAGAAUUAAAUGGAAUAUGUUGAUUAACUUCCACACUAGUGCACACGUACAAAGCAGAAGCAUCGAACUGCCUCUCAGUUUUUGUUGACAAUAAUUCCCAUAAUACAGGAUUUAUGAAAUGUCUAAAACAUCAGCUAUGGUGAAAGUUUGGCAUGGCUAGUUCAUGGUAUUAACCGGUAGGCACUCCAGAUGUUGUUGACUACAUCCUCCAUAAUGCUCUUACAACCAUAAUGCUGGCAAAGCAUCAUGGGAGGUGUAGUCCAAAACAUCUGGAGUGCCGGCAUUUGCCUGUGCCUGUGGUAGGGUAUCAGAUUAUCACUAAUUGAGCUUGAAGAAAGGUUCAGUGAACACAUUUACCCAUGGAUGUCCCAUGUGCUUUUACCCUUUUUUUUGAUCUUUAAAAACUGAUAUAUUUCCAGUAAAUUUUGAUGAAGACAACACUGUGAAAUGAAUUAUAUCUAAUAUAUCCUUCGAAAUAAAGGAGCUCAUUAUUAUGCUAGAAUUACAUUUGGACUAGUAUAUCAUGUUGUACGAAUCAUAACAAAGAAUAGUAUUUUUUUCUGAUGACUUUACAUUUAAUAAACACCCUCAAUACACAGGAAAAAGAGAGAAAUUAAUAAUCAACACUAACAUAAUCUGUUAAACUCACUACACUGCAAAGUAAAUGAAACAACACCUGCAAGUUUUCUGGUAGAUGUAAACAAUUACCAAGGAGGAAAAAUAAAUGUUGCUUGGAGCAAAGGGAGGUUUGUGCUUGAGAAGAACUUUUAAUGUGACAUUUCUGACAUGAAGUACAAAGACUCAUACGUCAGCAAUGUGUGAAUAAUGUCGCCCAAAUUACAAUACAUUUUCAGUAAACGUGACUGAAAAUCGGGGGAAUAUGUUAAAUAUGUUAAUUAUUGGAGAUUUUAAUCAGCCGGACAUAAAUUGGGAUAGAGUGACUAGUACUUCAGCAAGGGGAAUCAGAUUUUUGAAUGUGUUAAAUGAAUCAUUCAUGUCACAACUGGUACAAGCACCAACUAGAAAGGAUGCUUGUCUGGAUCUCGUUAUAACAAACAAUGUUGAUCUUUUGACCAACAUUCAAGUAGGGGAGCGUUUGGGAAAUAGUGAUCACAAUAUGAUAAUUUUUAAAAUAAACUUUAAAAAGCAAAAGCACGUGGGGUAUACUAAAGCGUUAAAUUUUUAAAAUGCAACAACAUAUCGACUGGCAUAAACUCCUCAGUGAAAAAAACCCACUGAGGAUAAGUGGAAGCUCUGCAAACAAAUAUUAGAAAGGUACAUUUCUCAGUAUGUACCAUUGGGAAAUAAAUAUAAAAGAAACAAAUUAAAACCAAUGUGGCUUAGUAGAGAAGUAAAACAAGAGAUUAAAAAUAAGAAAUGGGCAUUUAGAGCAUUUAAAUCGGACAAAUCAGAGGCAUCCUAUAUAAGAUAUAAGGAAGGCAAUUAAAGUGGCUAAACUUGAAAAUGAGAAAUUGAUAGCCAAAGAAUGCAAAACCAACCCCAAUUUUUUUUUCAAGUGCAUCAAUUCUAAAAAAAACCCCCCAAAAAACGAAAGUGUAGGUACACUGGAAACAAAGAUGGGUCUGUUAGUGAAUGAAGACCAGGAAAAGGCAGACAUUUUAAAUAACUAUUUUUCUUCAGUAUAUAUGUAUGAGGAUCCUUUGGCAAGAGAUAUGCAAAUGAUUGCUGCAAAAAAACUUGCAGAUAACUUGUGAUUGGAUGACUUGAGACCAGGUGCUAUAGCAGUUAAAGAAAAUCUAUGUAAAUAAAGCUCCAGGGCCUGACGGUAUUCACCCACGAGUACUUAAGGAGCUAAGUGGGGAAAUAAGUGAACCUUUGUAUUUAAUUUUUCAAGAUUCUUUUGUUUCAGGUAUUGUACCAGAGGAUUGGAGGAAGGCAGAUGCCGUUCUAUAUUUAAAAAGGGUUCAAAAUCCUUGCCUGGAAAUUAUAGACCUGCGAGCUUAACUUCUGUGACUGGGAAAAUAUUUGAAGGGCUAUUAAGGGAUUAUAUUCAGGAAUUCAUUGGGAAGAACUUUGUUAUUAGCAAUAAUCAGCAUGGUUUUAUGAAACAUAGGUCAUGUCAAACAAACCUAAUUGCAUUCUACCAAGAAGUAAGUAGAAGUAUAGAUCAGGGUAUUGCAGUGGAUGUGAUCUACUAGGAUUUUGCCAAGGCAUUUAAUACGGUUCCUCCCAAUAGGUUAGUCUUCAUACUAAAAGAAAUUGGCACACGCAACUUACACCCUAAAUGGUAGUGAAUAAGGGAUAACCACACAUGAGAAGGAUUUGGGAAUUGUUAUAGACAACAAAUUAGGCAGCAAUUUGCAAUAUCAAUCUGCAGUUGCUAAGACCAGUAAGGUUUCGUCAUGUAUAAUUAGGGGCAUAAAUUCUCAGAAUGAUAAUAUAAUUUUGCCUCUUUAUAAAUUGCUGGUAAGACCACACCUUGAAUAUGCUGUGCAAUUUUGGGCACCUCUUCUAAAGAAGGAUAUCAUAGCACCAGAAAAAGUGCAGAGACGAGUUACAAAAAUGAUAAAAGGAAUGGAGCAUUUUAGUUAUGAAGAAAAGUUAAAACAUUUAAAUCUCUUUGGUUUGGAAAAAUGGCCCCUCAGAGGGGAUAUGAUAACAUUAUACAAAUAUAUUCGGGGCCAGUGCAAACAAUUAUCUGGAAAUCUAUUCAUAAACAGGGCUCGAAAUAGGACACAAGGUCACACAUUUAGGCUGGAAGACAAAGAAUAGUUUUUUUACAGUAAGAUCAAUAAGAAUAUGGAAUUCUUUGCCUGAAGAGGUGGUUUUAUCAGAGUCCAUACAGAUGUUUAAACUGCAAUUGGAUAAAUACUUGCAAAAACAUAACAUACAGGUAUAUAAUUUCUAAUUAGUGGGGUAAUAGCUGCUUGAUCCAUGGAGAUAUCUGACUGCUAUUUUGGAGUCCAGAAAGAUUUUUUUUUCCUAGUUUUUUGCAAAAUUGGAAGCGCUUCAAACUAGGUUUUUUUGCCUUCUUUUGGAUCAACAGCAAAAACAUAUGUGAGGAAGGCUUGUAACUGCAGCUUGUUCCCUUAUUUACCACUAUAAAGUCUUAAAGCAUGGAACUUGGCAGGGCUAACCAUACAGAUAUCUUAGCCAUAAUUUUAUAUAGUUAGUAAGAUAUCCUCUAUUUAAAAUAUAUAGGUAAUUGAGAAUACAAUAUAAAAUAAGGAUUGUCUUGGAAGCAAUAAAGUUUUUUCUUUUAGGUAUUUUUUUAAAUAAAAAUAUGAAUAUAGACAUAUGAAAUUCAUUACAAUAGUUUAUAGCAGAGUUUAUAAGAUUAAACUAUAUGCUUGCAAUAUCUUAAUAGAUUAACAUACCCUCCUGAACAUGUCAUAAUGUCAGAUUCUCUGUCAUUAUAAGAUGGAGCGUCUGUCUCCAAAUCUCUUCUUUCUGUGUUAACAUUUAAAAGGUACACAUAUUUAUACCUUAGGUGUCUUCAUUUUAGUGUUACCAUAGUUCAUAUAUGAAAAAGUAACAUUUCUUUUACUUUAUUAAUUUUAGGACCUCCCUUAAAUUAAAGUACAAGGCCAUACCUAACGCAUAAGGGGGUGCACGCGUCAUGGGAAGUUCCCUGACUUAAGACAACAUGGCAUCUUAAAGUCUGAACAUCUCUAUCUAUUUAGGGUUACCUCAGUAUAUUAGGUACUGAAAGAGUCAUAGCAUAGCCUUGAAGCUUGUUUAUGCAUUAUUGUUAUUUUUUUUCGUGUGGGACAAAAUGGUGUAAACAUAUUAUGCACUGAAAGUAGGUAAAAGGUUAUUGCUUAAAGAAACAGUUAUGAAAAACAAUAUUUCUAAAACCUUGUCAGUUUGUAAUCUCUCUUAAAGACAAAGUACACAGGUAAUCGUCCUGGGUCAUCAUUCAAAUUGGUUUAAAUAGAAAAAUAAUGAAAAGAGUAUGUUGAAUAAAAUCAUUGACUGGUGUACAAUCUCAAAAGUUCGAUAAGCACUUUAUCUCUUUAUCUCUUCUUCUCAAAAUGAUCAAUAUGCAAACAAAGCGCAAAGUAAGAGCAUAGAAUGGAAAUUGUAAGAGAUAAAAACCACACAUCUUUUUAUAACUCAAUUGUUAAUCAUCUAGUCUCUUGCCUUAACCAGACCCAAGCUUAAAUUACUGAUUGCAUCAAGAGCAAAAACUAUUCCUUAGCACAGAAUGACAUAUGUUUCCGUGCUCUGAUGUGUGUGAUGAAUCCGGCCAUAUAACUUGUCUUAUUACUGUUACAAACUUUAACAAACACAAACUCUACACCGCACCGCUUUCCAAAUAGAAAAGCAAGGAGGGUAAUUAAUAUCUGAAGGCAGGUACAAUGUAACCUUGCACUGCUCUCUUUUGUUUCAUUCUUCUUUUAAACAUUUGGAAACAUGUGCAAAUAGUCUCAAUUCAUGAAACCACAUGAUAUCCCGUCCACUUAAAUUAUGCUUGGCAUUCACUUCCCUUUUCACCUGCAAUUAUAGCAUAAACCAAGAUGGAAUUUAAAGAGGUAGCUAAGAUUCAGUCGACUAGCAAGUAUGCCUUUCUCAUACAAUACUCUUCUAUUAAAGGGACACUAUAGUCACCAGAAUAACUACAGCUUAUUGAAUUUGUUCUGCUGAGUAGAAUCACUACCUUCAGGCUUUUUGCUGUAAACACUGUCUUUUCAGAGAAAAUGCAGUAUUUACAUUACAGCCUAGAGAUAACUUCACUGGCCACUCCUCAGGUGGCUGUUAGAGGUCCUUCCUGGGUCAUGACUGCCUAAAAUGCAUCCAAACAUUCAGUAUCUCCUCCCUCUGCAUGCAGACACUGAACUUUCCUCCUAGAGAUUCAUUGAUUCAAUUCAUCUCUCUGAGGAGAUGUUGAUUGGCCAGGGCUGUGUUUGGAUCAUGCUGGCUCUGCUCCUAAUCUGCCUCUUUGUCAGUCUCAGCCAAUCCUAUGGGGAAGCACUGUGAUUGGAUCAGGCCACCGCUUCUGAUGAUGUCAGCAGACUGCUUGUUUUUCUGAGUCUAACAGCAUGCAGAGUUACAGCUUUAGGCUUGAAUACAGUAAGAUUUGUACUAUAUUUAUGGAGGCAUGAGGGGCCAAGGGGGGCUAGAUAUAGGGUCAGGAAUACAUGUUUGUGUUCCUGACCAUAUUGUGAUCCUUUAAACUCUUUAGAAAAUCUGCCUGUACUGUCAAAAUAUAAUUAGAUUAUAAUAUUGUCUUGUCAAUAAGGUGUUACAGAAUCUUCUGUAGCUAGCAUAAAGAAAAUAACAAUAUGCACCCAAAGGAGAAAAACAAGACUCUCAAGUACAUAUUGUCAAUCUGGUUCUAUUUUUCCUGAUAUUCUAGACAGAGCAAUAUACACAUUGCUUAGAGCUAAUGACCCACUGCUUCUAUAGCUAUGAAAUUUAACUCACCAGUCAUCUAUGGCAGUGUUAUUUAGUUAUGUGUACUUUAUCAAACAAUAUAAUUAACAUAUUGAUUCAAUUCUAUCAUUGUUGUUUGCUAACUGAUCUUUCCAUAAAACGUGAAACUUAUUUUUAAAAAUUGGCACAGCUGAACCAUUUUUCCAAAAAUAUAAACAAUUUUGAAACACUUGAAAAGUGAAAAAUGCAAAGUUAUGCACUUCUGCGUAAAGAAUACCCAAGCAACGUAUACCCUUAAUGGAAGUGAAUUAGGGAUUACACACGAAAAGUACUUGGGAAUUGUUAUAGACAACAAACUAUGCAACAAUGUGCAAUGUCAAUCAGCAGUGGCCAAGGCCAGUAAGGUAUUGUCAUGCAUGAAAAAAGACAUUCAUUCUCGGGAUGAGAAUAUCAUUUUGCCUCUUUAUAAAUCACUGGUAAACCACAUAUUGAAUAUGCUGUGCAAUUUUGGGCACCUGUUCUAAAGAAGGAUAUUAUGGCACUAGAAAAAGUGCAGAGGCAGGCUACAAAAUUAAUAAAAGGAAUGGAACAUAUCAGCUAUGAAGAAAAGUUAACAAAUUUAAACCUCUUUAGUUUAGAAAAACGUCGCCUGAGAGGGGAUAUGAUAACAACAUUAUACAAAUAUAUUCGGGGCCAAUACAAACCAUUGUGUGGAAAUCUAUUCACAAACCUGACUUUACAUAGGACACAAGGUCAUGUGUUUAGACUGGAAGAAAGAAUAUUUAGUCUAAGGCAAAGAAAAGGUUUUUUUUAAUGUAAAAACAAUAAGGAUGUGGAAUUCUCUGCCUGAAGAAGUGAUUUUAUCAGAGUCCAUACAGAUGUUCAAACAGCUACUAGAUGCAUACUUGCAAAAACAGAAUAUUCAAGGAUAAAAUCUUUCAAUGUAGGGUAAUAACUGCUUGAUCCAAGGAUAUAUCUGACUGCCAUUCUGGGGUCAAGAAGGAAUUUUUUUCCUAGCUUAUUGCAAAAUUGGAAGUGCUUCUAACUGUUUUUUUUUUUGCCUUCUUUUGGAUCAACAGCAAAAAAAUUUGAGGAAGGCUGAACUUGAUGGAUGCAAGUCUCUUUUCAGCUAUGUAACUAUGUAACUUGAAUUUUGGCCAAAGGUUUGGCUCAGCAGAAUUCCAGAACCAUGAUUCCAAAUUCGGGAACCGAAGCAGAAGAAUAAUAGGGCACAAAAAUAGACCAAUUAGUAUGCUCAAAAUGUACGCGUAAUAGAAUAUUGUGUGGUGUAUUUUGCACUACACGGAUUUACUAAUUACUAAACAUAUUACUAAAUAUUAAGAUCAAGUUCUUGAUGUAGACCCGAAUGGGUCGAAACGAUCAGUUAUUUUUGUGACUUUAUGUUCCAAUAAGCACCAAUGAAUUUAUGGAAGACCUGUGAGUGCCCCUUUUUUCUAAUUUGGUAUAUAUUUCAGCGUGGAAUUGCACCAAGGCACUGUAUUUGGAUAUUAUGGACUAGAGGGUGAGUGCCAUUUUUUUAACGUAAAAUUUGUCCUGAAAAAAAGUCUACUUGUUUGUUCAGUUUAUACAAAGAAGAAGUCAACGUUUCAGUCCUAACCAGACUUUUCUCAGGACAAAUUUUACAUAAAAAAAAAAAAUGUAUAUAUUGGCAACUAUGACACCCCACUAGCAGUAGUGGCAACUAUGACACCCCAUCCCUUGCAGCGUGUAUGCUUAAAGGGGUGGCAAAUAAUAUAUAUUCUUGGUGGUAAGAUCACCCAGUAUUUUCAUAUUUCUAUUGUGUCAUAUUUUUUCAUCAAUUUGCCAUUUGUGAAUCAAGCAAAUUGAUGGAAAAAAAAUACAAAACCAAAUGAAAAACUAAACCAAAUGCUAACACACACACAAUGAGUUAAUCACUGUUACUGACCUUUAAUGAAUUGACCCAGAGGUUCCAUGUCCAAAAUAAACCAGAUGUUCUUAAUUUAAAUAAGGCCAUUAGAAAUUGCAAUUCCUGUGGUCAUAGAAACCCUGUUUUGAAAUCCUGCAUACCAGACCAGGAAUAGAAAUGUGUACUUCUGCUAUCCAGGAGACAAGACAAAUCUGAUUAUUUUUUAAUAUAGCGAAAGUGUACAACGAUUUAAAGCACAGUCUUCAUGUCACUUUUGCUUUGAGCUUUAUUGUCCGUUCCUUAUUUUCUGCUUGUGGAAGCAUGACAAAAGGUAACCCUUGCUGACUAUCUAGUGCACACAUAAACAAACAUUGUAUUAAAAAAAAUUCACGCACAGGAAGUCUGAGACUCCAUUACAAGAUUUCAUUUUAAAUCCUGUAUUGAAAUAUGUGAGCUGUGCAACAGAUAUUCCAAAUUUUGACUUGGUUUUAAAUAUUUUUAAAUUUGUUUAUUUAUUAUUAUUAAUGAGGAUUUACUGUGCACGUAAAAUUUCAGUGCCUUAGGACUUUAUUAUUUAGGCACCAUAAAUGUUCAGGGUUUGUUUAUUUUCUAAAUUGAGUCAUACUGUGUGAGGACCAAAAUGUAGACUUUGUUGCCAACCAUGUCAAUGGUUUAAGUGCCAAAGUUGUAAAACCUGCAAUGCAUCCUUGGAAAUAAAAAAACACUGUGUAACUAUUUAACCUUCUAUCCUCCCUUGUGGACAAAUUGUACGUUUAUGUUUUGAAUAACUAUUGUCUACUUCCUUUAGACUAUAGUUUCAUUGAAUCAGGGCCUUCGUUAUCACUUUGCUCCAGUAUGCUGAGCUUGUAUGUCUUGUUUUUAUUAAUUGUCUUUCACUGUGGAAUUUGGUGUUGCUAAGCUAAUGACAAUUGCUACCCAACGGGCAAAACUUUAGGGCUUUGUCCAUUUUUAGUGGAAGUGCCUAUUUUAACCUGUUUUUCCCACGUUCAGAUAAUAUUGUAGCAUACAAUGAACACAAUUAGAACCCGUAGCUUAAAUUAAUAAUAAAGUCACCCUUUCCAAGUUCUGUUUUAAGGGUUAUUCACGGUGUUUAUUGAAAAGAAUUAAAAAUUUUAGUACAAAUUAGCAAAUAUUGGAAAAAUAUCUAGAUCAGCUCUGCAUUUAGUUAUAUCUAAUAAAAUGUUAAAUUCAAUUUGAAUUAACUUUAUGUUCCUGAUGAUUCACACUGAGUAUAUAACCUUGUCUGUGUUGUAGUGAGAUAAGAAUUGGCACACAAAAAAAUAAACUAUUUCUGACAUUUCAUAUUUCUAGUGAAUCCAUCCAUGACUGUCUCAUCCCAUUACACACUUUAUUUAUUUAUUUAUUUAUUCUUCUGUCUUUUUUCCUCCUGUUUCCUGUUUGUAUCUGUAUUUGUACCCUUGUAUCUAUUUGUUGUUUCCUUGUAAUCAUCUUUUAUCCACUUUGUUUAAUGUCUUGAAUUUUAUUUGCGUCACUGGUUGCUCACAGCUUAGUAGACAUGCCACUACUCUUAGCACAGCGGGUAAGUACAGAAAAGAGAAUUUAUCCUCCCUUAUACCCUUAUACUAAUAUGGGAGUCAUAUUGACACCCAUAGAGUGGGGGGCAUGGGAGAUUUAAGAAAAUGGCAGAGAGCACAGCUCUCCGCCCCUUCUAUUUUUAAAUAUAAGAAGGAGGAAGCUGCAAGCAAGUUACUCCCUCUUGGUAAUAAAAUAAAACAAACAAAGAAUGAGUUGCAGGAAGAAAUUUCAUUUAACAAGCAAUUUGGUCUUUGUAUCAUUCAAAAGCAAAUGCCCAUGAUUACUGUGAAGUGGGCAUGCGCGAGAAUUUCACUGCACAAGCUAGUGUGGACCAACGACGAUGAUGCGGUAAAGUUCAUCUAUGAUCACUAAGAUGGCAGCGCUUAGGACAUAGAUCCGGAGAGGAAAUGAAGCAAUAAAAAGGUGAAAUGGGGGACAUAGAGGCAUUUUGGUGUGACUGUAGUUACAAUAAAGUGUAGAGGAGUCGGGAGAGGGGUUAAAAAAAGUUGAUUAGUUUUAAGCCAAUACAUUUUCACAGUUACGUUUUGGAGAACCACACCAUAUUUUAUUUGGUGCAUAGUUAUUAUCCAUUAUACUGUAAAAAAAGAGAUAGAAUAGACGCAGCUGAACUAUUUAAUUUGAUUUUAUGCUUGGUUUGUUUAGAUCGAUUAUUCUUUCUCUAUAAAAUAAGUACAAAAAAUAACGUGCUAUCUUUUUGCAUCUACGUGAUUUUUUUUCCACUUUUCAUUACAUGCAAUAUAUUCCCAAAUCACAAUUCUUCAUAAGGCUUACACUCCAGGGAUAUCAUAGAACACAUUGAAUCUGUAUGAUAGGAAACUGCUGGACACAUUCUAAAUAAAUCCCUUUAAAAAAAAAAAAAAAAAACUAUUAAUGCAAAGUCCAUCAAACAAUUUGAUAGUAUGUUUUGUUGAAUUAUUCAUUAAGGUUAUUCAGUAAACAGCAGCUAUAGUACAGCUUGGCAAUUUAAGUCUAAAUUGUACAAUGCUGACAGGAGUGUUUUCGUUGAUUGUAGCACUCUGCCCUGGUUUUGACAUGCUAAUUAUAUCUUUUAGUAUGUUUUAUUUUCUUUUUUGGCCUAUACCCAGAUAGUGUGUCUAUGGACUGUUUGAGCUAGAAAUGGUUCUGCCAGAUUCAAGAUUAGUUUAAAUGUAGAAAGUAAUCCAGGCACACCAAAGUGUUCCAAAAGAUAGGCAAUUUUCAUUGGACCCAAGAACCACUAUAUUUUGGAACACUUUGGAGUGCCUGGAUUACUUUCUACAUUUAAACUUUACAUUUGGUCCUUUUGGUACUGGGACUGAUCCGGUUAAGCACCCAAGGAUUCCAGGGUGAAGGGUUUGAGUGCAGUUCCACUACCUGUAUAUAGAUUCCAGAUUAGUGACAUAUUUUGUUUUAUUACUGAGCAUCUUUAGAAGGACCAAGCCUAUACUUCUGUGACAUUCUCCAGUGAGGUGUCAAGUUGCCCACCAAUACUAGGCUUUGACAAGUUAGAGUCAGGAUAGAGCUGCUAUACACGUGCAUUGUGUGUUAUGGAAGACCAGGUUACAACACCCUGGGUUCUACUGCAAUACAUAAAUUAACAUUGUUUGUUGACAUGUUAAUAUGGAAUCAAUAAUACCUGAUAUCUAUACUUUGCAAACGUUCACCUGUCAGUUAACUUAAUGCCUGUAAUAAACGGAACUCUGGUGUGAUCUAGUCUGAUCUAUAAUUCCAGCAUCCAAACAGAUUUAGCCAUUCUUUACCUUUUUCAGUGGUCACCAAACAGACCAUCUUGCCCAGAAAUGGACAAGCCAACAGAUAGACAUCUGACCGAACAUCAAUCUUUGUAAAUGGGACUCAAGUCCAUAUAAGGCGGUUUUCAAACCCCAAAGUAUAAAUAAGGAAGAAAUGUUAUAUUAUUUCAAAGUGAGUUAUCCAAUCUUUUUUCUUUCAUCUAGGCUGUUAUGCUUCUUAAUGCAACUGUGAUUUGUGAGACUUUGGGCAGUAAACCUCAAAUUAUUCUAAAAUAAUUUAGCUAUAGGAAAAUUCCAACUAAGCAGAAUUGUUUUAUGACUGUGUACUUUUGGUCUACAUUUUUUAAGUGAAUAAACUCUUAUGUGUUGGUUGCAUGUGUGUACUGCCUUAGGAGUGCGCGACCUAUGCGAUCACACUAAGGGGCAGAUGGCACCACACUCUCCUUCAGGAAUCUAUGCAAGUACCUGUAGUCUAGCAGAACUGUCAUAGCUAUCAGUGCCUACCUUCUUAACCAAGAGCUCAUAGAGAUAACUGCAGGUUUGCUAAGGAGGAAAACAGGGAGCUACCCAAAAUUAUAUUUGGCAUGUAGGUUCCAUGAUGCACUUCCAGUUCAUUAGACUGACUGGGCACCAGGAGAAUUGCACCACAAAUAUCUGGAGUUUGAUUUUAAAAAAUGAUUUGAACUACAGUUCCUACAAUGCUCCAUUUGCCUUUAAAGUUGGCUAAACAUCAUGGAGGUGGUACUUCACAAUGGUACUUUACUUUGGGUAUAAUGGCCUAAUUUCACCUUCACAUUAUAAACACAGGAAAAUUAUACAAACAUAGAAACACCUACACACACACACUUACUUGCACAGCAAUAGCCACAGUUAGUGAUAUUACACACAUGAACAAGGAUGUUCCUGCACACAGACAUUGGAGGGACGUUAUUACAAAGCCUCAUACAGAUCACCUGAAGGCCUAAGGCUGGCCCUUCCUGCAUAGUAAACCACACAGACCAAUGCACAGUAUUUGCAUAGUUUGCAAUGGGUUUGUAGUCUGGCUUGAAAUCAAACACCUCUUUAGUCAGCAAAUUUAAUUCACUUCCUCAUUAACUGUAUUUUCUACUAACGUGUCCCAACUGCACUAUAUCAGUUUUGUUCCUUAUGUUUCACUCCUGGCUUGCAGUUUGCCACUGUCGUUAGAAAUGAAAGCAAAAGAGGCAGCUUAUUGUACCCUCUGUAUCGUAUAAGGUGUAAUUUAUUAGUAAAAUCAAAUUUGAGAAUGUUCACUUCUCCAAACAUGGUCAGUUAAAAGAAAUUGGUCAAUCAAAAUAUCAAGGCCAUUUGGGGGUUUCUGAGAAGUUUUGAAGAAACAGAAUGGAGAGAGAUUUAUCAAAAUGAUCUGAAAAGUGUGUUUUAGAGGAUCAACAAUCUGUCCCAAUUUACUGGUUUUAUUGUUUGCAAAAUAAUCUGAAAAGUGUUGCCUUAUUCUAAGAAUACAAAUAUCCUGUGCCAUGCCUUUUCAACUGUGUCAAAUGUCUAAUAAACUGCUAUUUAAAACAAAUAUCCUGGCUCCUGGUUAACUAAAAAAUAAAAUCUUUUUUUGAUUUGUUAAAAUAAAUUUGAAGAUUAAGAUUAUAAGAUUAAAUUGAAUGUUCUAUACAUUAUAAAAAACAUGCAAAAGAAAAAAAAGACUGUCGUGCAACAUUUUGAUAAAUCUUCCUCACAACUAAAGUUGUACUAUUUUGAUCACAAAGUUCUAGCAAAAUAUUUUUAUCUACAUUAAAACACUCUGAAAAUCCUAACUACCAUACCUCUCCGUGGUUAGAGUACCAAGAGUCUCCCGGUGUCGCCCUCGGUUUAAUAGCAAAAUAUUUAUAAACGGUUUGAUAUAUACCAGAGCUGCUCUGAUCAUCAAAGGAUCUUUUCAAUCUCAUCAUCAUUAAUAAUGUUAAAUUAUUACUUCUGCAUUCUCAAUGUAAAUUUUGAUCAAUCUGGAUGACUUUGAUUGAAUAAAAAUGCUGGGACAACAUUUUUGGAAAUAGUUUGGUGUUAAACUAAAUAUGGUGUCUAAAACCGCUUAGAGUGCCCCUUUAAAUACUAAAAUCAACUAUUUGGCACAUAAGAUCUAAAGCAUUUCCCCAUUCAAUUCCAGUGAUCUGAAAGAAAUGCUUGUGCUUCCGCUAUAUAAUGCAUUGGAUUUAGUGAAAUCAAACAUUUUAUUUAGCGGUUCUGGAACAUGCCUUUUUUUUAAAUUUAUUUAUUAUUAUGCAUUUUAUACCAGACAUUUGCUGUGUUUGGUUUAUUUUAAAACCUAAGUUUGUUUUCUAUGGACAUUUACAUAAUACAUCAUAGAAAAUAGAUAUGAAAGAACAUAAGAUUGCUAACUUUAAAAUUACAUUUAUUACACAAAACCAUUUAAUCAAUCACUGAGCGAAAUAUUUGCGGAUAUCAAUACUAUUAAAAGGGUUUUUUUUUUUUCAACAAAGCCAUCAAAAUAUUUAGACUCUAGUUGAAUAAAGUCGAUGUUGUGAUAUAUAUUUAAAAGGAUUCUUUGUUGCUGUGUGUGGAGUUGACCAUCCCUUUUUAAUGCAUUACCUAAAUAAUGCAUCAAAAAUUAAAUGAAAACAUGAUAACCCCUUUAGUUUUGUAACUGCAGUGUGCUCUGUGCUAAGCUAGGAAGUAGCCAUCUUUUAGACAUUGUUAGCUAUGCCAUUGUUUUCACUUGAUUUGGAGAGCUGAGAUUUAUGAGAUAUUUAGUCCAGCAAUCAGCAGAAAUCCCAUCUUCAUAAACAAAUUUUGUGAAACUAUUGCCAACAGCUAAUUUGUAGUUUUUGUGAAUGGAAGUAUACAAAUAAGUAACGAAGAAGCCAAUUAGAGGACAUGAGGAUCUGGAAGGAGCUGAAGCUCCAUCAAUUCCAUUUAUAAAAAAUAAAUAAUGCAAGUAAUAUUUUAAUCUUAAUGGUGAGGGUAAAUAGCAUGACAAAUUGUAUUUUAUUUUUUCCACCGUAGAUUGUGUUUGUGGUUUGAUUUCAUUUUACUUUUAGUAAUCAUUUUCACUUUACUAAUCCUUACAUAAAAUUGUGUAAUGGUAAUAUUGAUAGUCGGCCACGGAAAGAUAAUUACAUGUCAUUUAUAGAAGUCAGAUUUGGAACGCAUUUGAAAAAUAAAAAGAAAAUCUGUGCUGAUUCUAUUUCCAAAGUUAAAAUGUUUUAAUUGUUUUCAUGCUAGUUCAACAACAAUCUACUUUCAUUUUCUUUAUACUAUUCUGUGUACAUUUAUUUUGAAGAGCAACCACUUCCUUGAUAGACAAAUGGAUAGACAGACCGACAGAUUUAGAAUAGUUGUUUUUUUUUUUAAAACUUCAUACAUAACAUAUUGUUGGAUUUUUCCAUUACAUAAAAAUAUAUUUAUGUGUCCAUUAAAAACAAAACAAAAAAUGCAUUGUCGUGAGUUGACAAAACAGACCAAAACUCUCUUUGAGGAAAAAAUAAAAACAGUUUUCUUGAGGCUGUCUAUUUUAUUUUACAUUAAUUUAAUAUUAUUUCUUAAAUGUUGUGGCUAUUUGUUAUCUCAUUAAACUUUCCUGUGUAUUUAUGGAUAUCUCUGUACAUAAAGUCCUAUCAUUUCUGGGGUAGAUUUACUGGAAGGUGCUGACAUAUUGUAUGCCAUUAUAGCAAUGUUACCCCAAAAUGAUCUUUACCAACUGUGCUGUGUCAGCAGAUUAAAACGUCUGAGCAUAUUAAAGCCUCUGAGUGAGGUAUAACUGCUACGUAGGAAACUAUAGAAACUUUUUGUUGUAAUUUUUAGAAUGAAAAAGACAGUUUUCCAGUAGAAAAUAUUUGCCUUGUGACACCAAAAAACAGUUCUCGCUAACUUCAGCUCUGAUCUGCUGAUAAGUCAAAAUAUGGUUAAUAAAAACCAUAAAAACAAAUAAUAUAUUCCAGGGGGCAUUUUUUGCCAGUGAGCAAUACUAUAGUGGACUAUGGGCUGCUGGCUCACAGAACAAUACUAACAUAUAUUAUUAUUGUUGUAUUUUAAUCCUUGUAUUUAAAGGAACAAUAUAGUCACCUAAAUUACUUUAGCUAAAUAAAGCAGUUUUAGUGUAUAGAUCAUUCCCCUGCAAUUUCACUGCUCAAUUCACUGUCAUUUAGGAGUUAAAUCACUUUGUUUCUGUUUAUGCAGCCCUAGCCACACCUCCCCUGGCUAUGAUUGACAGAGCCUGCAUGAAAAAAAAACUGGUUUCACUUUCAAACAGAUGUAAUUUACCUUAAAUAAUUGUAUCUCAAUCUCUAAAUUGAACUUUAAUCACAUACAGGAGGCUCUUGCAGGGUCUAGCAAGCUAUUAACAUAGCAGGGGAUAAGAAAAUCUUAAUUAAACAGAACUUGCAAUAAAGAAAGCCUAAAUAGGGCUCUCUUUACAGGAAGUGUUUAUGGAAGGCUGUGCAAGUCACAUGCAGGGAGGUGUGACUAGGGUUCAUAAACAAAGGGAUUUAACUCCUAAAUGGCAGAGGAUUGAGCAGUGAGGCUGCAGGGGCAUGUUCUUUACACCAAAACUGCUUCAUUAAGCUAAAGUUGUUCAGGUGACUAUAGUGUCCUUUAAAUUUUUUUUAUAUAAAAUGAAGAAAGGUAGUGUGGUGGAUCGAUGUGCUACUUUGGUUUAAAGCUGCCCCCCUCCCCCUUGCAGACAAGGACCAAAAACCACACAGAAUUACACACAAGAGAGACCAUUUUUUCCCAAAAGAAAAUGCAAAAGCAUUUGUGCAUGCUGAAUAUUAAAAAAGGUGCUCAGAAUACUUAAUAGUUUCUUAACACAUUUAGCUGUGUAACUUUAAACUGACCAAAUCAUUCACACUAAGUCUGGAAUAUCACAGCUACAAUUCUAGCUAGGCUACUUGUUUUAACAAGCAACUUCAACAAAAAUAAAUGUUUUCACAAAAUAUUAAUUUUAUAUUUAAAUACAAAUUGAGUUAAUUCAUUAAACCAGCUAUCUUGAAUUUAUUUUCAAAUUUUAGGCCAAAUAACUUUGCUACAGAAAAUAGACAAAUUGAUUAAUUGUUCCCAAAAUACCUGUACUCGACUAAAAUCCGCAAUUCUUUUGUGAUUUUUAUAAUCUACUGUUUACUGAACAAACCCCAAAGCUUCAAAUAGUAAGACAGAAAUUUAUGCACUGGAGUUAAAUAUAAUGAUUUCUUCUCAUUUUUACAGCAUUUCACUGCAAUAACAUUUAGUGUACACAUUCACUUGUACAACUGCCUCAGUCCUUAAGGGAUUAAUGUGCAUUUUUAAGUACAAUAAAUAUCUUCUCCAUAAUAAAUGUAAGUACCCCACAUACAUGCUUUCCUGUUAUUCAGAAUAAAAUAGGAUAGAUUUAUGUUUUAUUUUGUUUAUAACAACUCCAUGUUAUUUUUUUGUUCUACCAGCAAACUGUAAAAAGACAAAUUAAUUACAAUCCACUUUUAUUUUGUAUUGAAAAUUACAUCAAUCGUUAAUGUGAAAGAUUUACAAAACAUGAUUUGUAACAAAAAAAAAUGUAGUUAUCAGAAAUUAAUUCAGUACAGUUGUGUUUUUUGUUUUUUUCAUUUGCUGUAGUUCAUUCUAUGCAACGAAAUAAAAAAUAGAAAAUCUAAGAAACAUCGAGUGUUUGAGAGAUACGAGAGGUCAAUAGAUAAGAAUUUGCACAAACUACAUAAUAACUUAAAUUUAAAACAUGUAAAGACUAUUUAGUAACACGAUUUAGCAGAUGCAAACAAUGUUAAAAAGAGGAGGAAUCCCCUGGAAUCCCUAUUAACCCCUUGAGGACACAUGACAUGUGUGACAUGUCAUGAUUCCCUUUUAUUCCAGAAGUUUGGUCCUUAAGGGACCACUUCUUGGCAAUACAUUAUUUGAUCCUCUGUAUCACUGAUUUCUUUUCCAUAGGUGUUUUCAUCUACGUUCCUCUGUGAUUUGCUUCCAAAGUAAAGAGUGAUGAUCCCAAAAUUCAUCAAAGGUCUGCCUCAGUCUGAUUUACUGAAUUCCUACAUUUCUGCAAAUCAGGUUUUAGCAUUUUAAAUGAGAUGGUAUGUUUUUGACACUUCCUGUGGAGCUGGUUUACACUCUUUCAAAUGGAGCAAUGCCCCACGUAACAUACUUUGGCUACCUUAAAUGUUAGCAGGCAGGGCAAACCACUAAUAGAGUUAUCUUGUCUCUAUGAUAGAUAUACUAAGUGAGGAAAGACUGUACAUAAUUUCUGGAACAUUCUACAAGAGAUAACUAAAGUUAAAGUGCUACUUACAUUUGUACAUGUACUUUUUUUUACACCUCAUGGUGUCCUUCUCUCCCCUCCUUCAACCCUUGUGAUUCUCAUCAACUGCAAAAUCUUGCUUUGACUAUUUGUUCUCUCUAAGGACUUGCUGUGUAACUUACAUGUCUGUAGCCAUAAACCAGCAUAAUAGUUAUUCGUUAAACCCAAAUUCAGCACUUUCUCCUAGGGCUAAAAUAAACUCGUAAAUUUACCAAUAUGGUAUAAAAUGUGACUAAAUGUAAUGCAAAGUAACACAAAAUAAAAUAUAUCCUAAAAAGCUACAAUCAAUAUAUAGUAUUAUUAAUAUUUAUAUAGCAUCAAUAUAUUCUGCAAUGCUCUAGGAUUAGAGAAGGGGUGAAGAAAUGCUCAAAUGAGCUUACAAUCUAUGGUAGGUGGAUAUAUGUUGUUAGGUGUCCUUAUCCAAGGACAUGUACUGGCCUAACUGGGUUUCAAGUCUAAGUUUUCAAUUUCUAUGGCAACAAUGUUACCACUGCCAUAAAAAUAAUAAUAAUUUUAUCUGUUUAUCUAUCUAUAUUUUUUAUUAUAUUUUUUAUUUAUUUAUUUAUGUUUAUUGUUCUUGAAUUUUUUAUGUUUUAUAAUUUUAUUUUCUAUGAUAUAUAAGAUAAUGGGCCUUGUACAUUCAAAUAAUAUUUUUUCAUAUAUAUAUAUAUAUAUAUAUAUAUUAAAAUUCUUCUUUCAGGAAUAUACAACCCACUAACAUUCAUUAAUAUCAAGUUUCUAUGUCCAGACAUCAAAGGUCCCUAGGGGCGUUAAAUAUUUUAAUUGAACAGCUGCUUUCUGAUGAAUAAUACAAAGAUGAAUCCAAAGUAUUAAACAUGUAUCUUAUUUCAUCAUUUGGAACAUGAAAUAUUUCUGUAAAAUAAAGUAAUAGAUAUCUUUAGGAAAUAGCAGAAUGUUUUAAGUAAAGAUGAAAAAGAAAAAUAUGUAAAAGAAUAUGCACAAAUUGCUUCAUACUGGAAGUAAUUAUUAAAAUUUUAUUGUAACGAGGAAUGUUAGGUCAUUUGUAGCAUCAAUUUUAGUUACUUGUAACCAUGAUAGCUAUCACCCCAGGACAUAGCAAGAAUAAUCUACAUGUUUUGACCCAAUACUUAUUUACAGAGUAUAUUUCUUUUUUUUACAUUCCCCCGCCACCAACAUCAGCAUCAGUGAUGUUCUCAGUAAUAUUUAAAGGUAAUCAAGGUUAUUAACUAAAGUCAAAAUUCAACGUUUAUUAUUAUUAUUUUAUUAUUUAAAUAGUGCCAGCAAAUUCCGUAGCACUGUACAAUGGGGGGUGGGGAGGAGACUAACAGACAUGUAAAUAUAAUGCUGGAGUAGUCGAACUAAAACAAUAGCUGACUUAGAAUAAUUUUCCAUUUAAGCUAUAUUGACCUUAAAUUUGAAAUUCACUUUGAGUUCACUUUGAAAUCUCACUAUAGUAAAUAACAGUGUUACAAUACAGGAUUAUAUAUAACACUUUCAGGGCUAUUCACUAUAGUGAGAAUUGUUCGGAAUUCCAAGCUAAUUUAUAAUUUAAGGUCAAAGUAGCUGAAUUGAAAAUAUAGCCGACUUCAAGGAUUUUGAAGUUUGGCUAUUUUGGAAAUUCACUUGAAAUUCACUUAACCCCUUAACGCCGUUCUAUGCCGUCGCGGCUUUAAAGCCGUUGCGGCGGCAUAGAACGCCGUAACGGCUUUCUGCCCCAGGGGAUCGCAGCUACUUACCUCCGCUGUGAUCCUCUUCUGGAGGGCUGCCUGACCGCCCAGGCAGCCCUCCUCCGGCAAGUGAGGCCCCCGGAUCUUCCAGCAGGGGGACUGUCUGAAAUAUCAGACAGUCCCCCUGCUGGUGGGAAAUGUAAAAAAAUAAAAUUAGACCUGUUUUAAAAUAAAUUAAAUACUAUAUAUAUAUAUAUAUAUAUAUAUAUAUAUAUAUAUAUAUAACGUCAUACGUUGUGUAUUUCAAUACUAAUAUAAGUAUAUAUUAGUAUUAAAAUACACUUAGAAUGACGUUACAUAUAUAAUAUGUAUAUAUAUUAUAUAUAAUAGAUAUAUACACAUAUAUUAUAUAUAUAUGUAUAAUUACAUAAAUAAAUAAAUAAAAUAAAUAAAAUAUUGAAACAAAAUUUUAUUAAAAUUAUAUAUUCAUAUGUAAUUUCAUUCUAACUGUAUUUUGUUAUUAAUAUAUAUAUAUAUUAGUAACAAAAUACACUUAGAAUGACAUUCUAUAUAUAUAUAUAUAUAUAUAUAUCUAUCUAUCUAUCUAAAAUACAAAUAACCGCAAAUAAAUAUAUAUAUAUAUAUAUAUAUAUAUAUAUAUAUAAAUACAUAUUACAUAAAAAGAUUACAUUAGUAUACACGUAGAAUUUAAAUACCUAUAAAUGCAUAUAUAUUAAAAUUCUACGUGUAUAUUUAAGUAAUCUUUUAACAUAAGUAUGUUAUUUGAUUAAUUAAAAUUUGAUUGACAUGCCUGACAACACAGAGAAAGUGCAGAGGAUUUAAUUCGCAAGCACUAUAUUUGACCCUGUAACUCUCCAAGACACCAUAAAACCUGUACAUAGGGGGUACUGUUUCUCAGGAGACUUCGCUGAACUCAAAUAUUAGUGUUUAAAACUGGCAAAUUGUAUUACAACGAUGAUAUUUUAAGUAAAAGUGACGUUUUUUGAUUUUUUUUACAAACAAACGGCACUUUUAUGCACUAUAUUAUUGUUGUAAUAUGUUUUACUGUUUUAAAACACUAAUAUUUGUGUUUAGUGAAGUCUCCAGAGAAUAACAAUACCCCUCAUGUACAGGUUUUAUUGUGUUUUGGAAAGUUAGAGAGUCACAUAUAAGGCUUGCAUUUCAUUUUUUUGACAUUGAAAUUUGCCAGAUUGGUUAUGUUGCUUUUGAGAGUGUAUGGUAGCCCAGGAAUAAGAAUUACCCCCAUGAUGGCAUACCAUUUGAAAAAGUAGACAACCCAAGGUAUUGCAAAUGGGGUAUGUCCAGUCUUUUUUAGUAACCACUUGGUCACAAACACUGGCCAAAAUUAGCGUUCAAUUUAGUUUUUUUACUUUUUUCACACACAAACAAAUAUGAAUGCUUACUUUGGCCAGUGUUUUCGACUAAGUGGCUACUAAAAAAGACUGGACAUACCCCAUAUUGAAUACCCUGGGUUGUCUACUUUAAAAAAAAUAUGUACAUGUGGGGUGUUAUUUAGAGAUUUAUGACAGAUAAUAGUGUUACAAUGUCACUAUUGAUAAAUUUUAAAAAUGUAUGUUUUGAAAACACAAUAUCCUACUUGUACCUAUAGCCCUUUAACAUGCAAAAAAAAGCAAAAAAGCACGUAAACACGGGGUAUUUUUAAACUCAGGACAAAAUUUUGAAUCUAUUUAGCAGUUUUUUUCAUUCGCUUUUGUAGAGGAGUAAAAGAUUUUUCAAGUAAAAGUAAAAAAACAUGUAUUUUUUUCAAUUUUUCAUCAUAUUUUUUUAUUUUUUUUAAAUUAAAAUACAUGAGUUUAUAUAAAUAAUGGUAUGUAAAGAAAGCCCCUUUUGUCCUGAAAAAAACAAUAUAUAAUUUGUAUGGGAACAGUAAAUGAGAAAGCGGAAAAUUACAGCCAGGGUAUGGUCAGUUAUUUCUAGUAGCCACUUAGUCACAAACACUGGCCAAAUAUUAGUUUUUUGCUUUUUUCACACAAAAACAAAUAUGAACGCUAACUUUGGCCAGUGUUUGUGACUAAGUGGCUACUAAAAAAGACUAAACAUACCCCACACCAUUAUGGGGGUAAUUCUCAUUCCUGGGCUACCACACCGUCUCAAAGGUAACAUUACUAACCUGGCAAAUUUCAAUUUGAAAAUGGAACGUUCUAUAUUUGUCCCUGUAACUUUCCAAAACACCAUAAAACCUGUUAAUGGGGGGUACUGUUGUACUUGUGAGACAUCGCUGAUUACAAAUAUUGGCAUUUUUUUGCAGUAAUACCUAACAGUAUUAUGACAUUCACAGCUACAAUGUCAGACGGAAAUACAAAUUUAAGAAAAAAAUCUUUUUUUAAAUUUUAUUCAUAAUAAAUGAUGUUCCAUAUAUGAAUAGUUAAUGAUAAAUUAAAGCCCUGUUUCUCCUGAACAAAAUGAUAUAUAAUAAGUGUGGGUGCACUUAAUGUGACAGCGGUGAAUUACGGGUGAACAGACAUAUAGCGCAAAAUUCCAGUUUUUGUUUACGUUUUGUUUUGAUCAGAACGUGCACUAUUGACUCCGUCCUGAAGGGGUUAACAGUUCUGAUAAGUCUCACUUCAGUGGAUAAUCCUCUCAGUAGGGUUAUCUAAAUUGUAUAAACCACUGCUUAAAUCACACAAAUUGUUCUGCAUACAAUAUGCCUUUUGUCAAAUCUUGUUUGAUUUGUAAUAGUAAUAUAUUUUGAAAUGUGAAUAUGAUUGUAUAGUAUUAAUAGAAUUAACCUUUAGUAAUGAUACUUGCACAUGUUUUUAGAUAUACAAAACAAAUAUAAAAUUUUUUUUUACUGGUAAAUAUUCCACUCCUUGCAGGGAUAUUUAGAAAAUAAAUAGUGGCAAUAAGGAAGCAUGUGCUAUGCAUAUAUUGUUUGUAUGGAGGAGGGAGAGGCUCAAAGAAUGUCAAUUAAUUAUUUUUUUCCCUGCUCUUUAUGCACAUAUUUAUAUACUAGAAUUGUACAUAGUGAAAAAAAAUUGGUUGCCCAAAUCAAUUUAUCAAAAAAACCAAAAACAAACAAACAAUGGGCUCUUUGGAUUUCGUCCAUGUGGUGUUUUGGUUCAGAGAAAUUGGGUCUAUGCGACCAUAACAGUAAAAAUGAUUCAGACAAACCAAAAUUGUACUGCAGUACAUUAAUAGGUGCAUUCUUAGUUCAAAGAUCAAGAUGAUUGAUGGCAAAAAAAAAUCUAUAAUUGAUGGUUUAGGGUCUGGUCAAUAAAUUUAGAUUUUAUUCACAGAUCAAGUGAGAAGAAACCAAUAGAGCUUGAAAAAGGUGGAGCAGAAAACGUCUAUAUUUCUAUAUUUAUUACAUAUAUAAGAUAUAAAUAUCAAUUUUUUUUGCUCCUCCUUAUUUUUUCCUCUACUGGUCACUGCUCACCUUAUGUGAAUACAAUUCACAUUUAUUUAUGUUCCCUAACCAUCAAUUACAUUUUUUUUCCAUCUAUUAUAUUUUCUUUUGGCCCCAUGGAUAGAACUCCAAAUCACAAAACAGUUUGUCCAUUUAGUUUGUUUCAUGAUGUGUCCAUAGAGCAUUUCAGACAAAUGGCUAAUGGCCAAUUGACGAAAAUGCUGUCCCCUCAAAAUAACUCAACACACAGCCAUUAAUGUCUAAAUAGUUGGCAACAACAGUGAGUACACCCCUUUAAACUGACCUGUAUUCCAUGAUAGACGCUGCUAGGCCAAGACCUCUUCGGGAACUAUGACGCAUUCGCUGCAAUCCACUACUGAAUCCCUUGAUUCUCUAAGAGAAAAUUAUAGAAAACCUAUGAAUUAUGCUUAUAUAUUAGAAAUUAUGAUUUUUUUUUGUGAGAAAAUCAAUUUUCUGUGUGUACAACUGUCAUUUUUAAGGAAGUUUGAUCAGGAAAAUAAAAUUUCAUUUCUUUCCUGUUACUUCCUGAAUGUUUUAGUGCAUACCAUGUUUUAGUACACGGCUUCUGUCUAUUUUGUCAACUUGGAAGUUGUAAAUCUUGCAAUAACCAAAAAUAUAUGUUUUUAUUGAUAUAGCUGAUAGUAGACGUGCACAAAUUCUGUUAAUCCCAGGAUGAACAAGUUGAUUUGUUCAUCAAACAUGAAUUAAUAGAAUAAUUUGUCCUUAGAUUAACAGGCAUUUGAUUUGUUAAUGGACCACUAAAGGCACCCAGACCAGACUUCAGCUCAAUGAAGUGGUCUGGGUGCCAGGUCCCCCUAGUUUUAACCCUGCAGCUGUAAACAUAGCAGUUUCAGAUAACCUGUUAUGUUUACAUUAGGGUUAAUCCAGCCUCUAGUGGCUGUCUCAUUGACAGCCACUAGAGGCGCUUCUGCCAUUCUCACUGUGAAAAUCACAAUGAGAAUACGCUGACGUCCAUAGGAAAGCAUUUAGUAAUGCUUUACCAUGGGCGGUUUGAAUGUGCGCGCGGCUCUUGCCAUGUAUGCGCAUUCUGCUCUGACGUUGGCAGCGCCGAGGGAGCCUGACACUAUAGUGGUCCUUUAAGCACAGUUAAAUGGAGUAUGUAGACUGUGUACAAGUCUAGCUGAUAUAUCCUGUGCUUCAGACAGUUCUGGGUUUAUUUUGUAAAACUUUUUUUCCAGGAACUGUGUUUUGUAGAUCAAUAUAGCAAUAAGGUGGCUUUAACUGUGCCAUUAAAUUCAUGAUGAAUUAUAGAAUUUAGUAUCUAAUUUUUUCACAAACAUAAAGCAUUGAAAAUGUACACAGCAAUACAAAUAAAGUACAACUACAGCUAGACUAAUGCAAAAGUGUAAAAAUCCAUAAGGUAUGUUAAAAAAGAUAUAGGCAGUUAAACGUAAAAAAUGUGUUCCAUAAACAUACCAAAUGAAUGAAAAUAUAUGUAUUUUUGCUAAAUAUUAAGGGGAUAUGAGUGUACAUUUGUACAGAGUGUAUGUAUACAUAUGUCAAUACAUAUAAUUAAUUUAUAUUAUAUAUACCAAUAAUGCCCAAAGAAUUGAAAAACCAUUGUGCAUAUGUAGCUUCUAAUCAAAGGGAAUUGUUGUCAUAGUAAGUUUCUUUUUAAUGAAAAUGUGUGAGCAUUGCUAAAGUUAAAGUCGUUUCUGUUUUGUGGGGGGAGGUCAUUUGUACCUGUUAUCAGUGCUGUAUUUGCCCGAGGCAAAUGAGGCAUUUGCCUUGAGGGGCACUUUCCAGGGUACCGCAAAAAAUGCCGUCCCCAAAUGCCCAGGCUAAUGCCUUGUUAGCCUCAGGGCAGACGGCUAGCUGAGCUCCAGGCGGAGAGCACAUUCUGGGUCCCCGCAUCACUUUGCGUUGCGCACCUGGAUCUCAACUGGCCGCCCACCUGCCUGCCCAAACAGUCCGGCCAGCAGCCCCACUGGAGCCCAGGUAAAAAAACACCCAGCUCCCCCAAAGGUAGGGAGGAUGGGUGGAUUUAAAUUAAAAUAAAAAAAUAAUCUGUGAGUGUUGGGGGGGAAGAAUGUGUGGUCACCCCAGAAGUGCCCAACAGGGUAUUUGAACCUGGGUCCUUCGCUUGCUAAUAUGCCUCUAAGCCACAGCGGAUUCUGUUCUUUUGUAUAUGUUCUAUCCUUGCUAUUUCUGGCUUUGUCUGCAACACUAGGGGGCUGCACUUCAUCUGUGGCUGAUACCUGUGCUUCACCUGAGGCAGAUCGCUAAUCAUCCAGGUAUUUAAGCACUGCCUUGCCCUGGGAACUUUGUCAGUCCUUUGAUUCUGGUGAUCGUGUGCUUGUCUCCUGAUACUUGUUCUCCAGAUUGACCUUGGCUUUCCUCCUUGUUUACCCUGACCCUUUGGCAUCCUCUGACUUUGACUUAUCCUCUAAGAUCCUUCUGCUUGUGUCCUUGUUUGUACUGCGAAUUGGAGCACCUUUCACACCCCCCAUGCACAGAUUCACAGUCCUGGUGGUUUCUAACCUUAUCACCUUGGACUAUGUAUAUCUGCAAGGGUGAGCACAAAUCUCUGUCUACCGGACUCCCACCUCUGGUAAGGCCCUGACAGUCUGUCUGUCAGUGAGUCUGUGUGUGUAUAUCUGUCAGUGUGUGAGUGAAUGUCUGUCAGUGUGUGUGUGUGUGUAUGUGUGUCUGUCAGAUUUUCAAGUCAGUGUAUCUGAGAGUGUUUCUGUCAGUCAAAGCGUAUUAGUCUUUAACAGGAAAAGGUGUGGCCUUGACAGGACGGGGCGGGGCAUGUGUAAAUUAGGGGGUGCCCGAGUUAAGUCAUGCCUAGGGCUACACAGAUCCAAAAUACACCAUUGCCUGUCAUCCAAAGGAGCACCGGUGUUUAUUGUGUGAAAAAGUAUGUGAGUAAAAUAUUAGUUAUCAGAUGAACCCAAAAUUGUUGAUUUUGAAAAAGUAGCCAUAAAAUUCUGAUUACAACUGAGAUCAUACUUACAGUUUACCAGAUGCUUUCUGACAAUUUUACUCAUCACUACUGUUGCUUUUUAAUGUUUUAUUUGUUUCAUUUAACAGCUCGACUGACCUGUAAUGAAGAUCAACAUCAGUAACAGACAUCCGUAGAAGACUUUGUGCUUGGUGAGAGAUAUGGAACAUUCCAUUGAAGAAAAAAUGGAAUUCAAGCACCAAAAAUAGCAUUUACACAUACAUAGAAAAUAAUUUUAUAGCAUGGUCAAGCGCUGAAAGCAGCCUCUAUCGCACACCCAGCUCAUACAGGUUUAGUGCUGGGGAUGAGCAAACGGAAAGGCUAGCAAGAAAAUUACUCACUGAUUCAACAAAUAUAGUUUGGUCAUGCUAAACAGUAGGAGUUAAUAAAUUAAUUAUGGCUAGGUGGAUAGGAGGAGGUUUGGGAUAGAAGUAUAGAGCAUACUAACUGAAGGAAGAUAGGAAAAAGGAGGGGUUGGAAUGGAAAAAUGCAAUCACAUGCACACGUCCUUUAGACUGUCUUCAGACACUACAUACCAGAUGCAUGCACACACUACAGAAAUACACCCUACAUUCACACACAUCAGUAGCAUUUGUUUUUCAAUUUUAUUUUAAAGUAUCUGUAAAAUAUUUUGGGUUAGAUAAUUACAGCCUAGACCAGGGAUAGGCAACCUUCGGCAUUCCAGAUGUUUUGGACUACAUCCCCCAUAAUGCUCUUAAAGCCAUAAUGCUGGCAAAGCAUCAAGGGAGAUGUAGUCCACAAUAUCUGGGGUGCCUAUCCCGGGCCUAGACAAUAACAGUAUGAAAUAUUAUAUACUUUGUUAUAUGAAAGUGUUGUAUGACGUUAUAUGUUUGUGAAAACAUUUUACACAUAGUACAUGUUAUAGUGUCGGUGUCAAAGGGUUGCUACAUGGUUAUAUAUGUGAUGGUUUAAAUAUUGCAUAUUGGCCAAAUGCACAUGUCAUUUGGACUUUGCUAUCUAAGAACUAGGAUCAGUCCUAAAAGUACUGAAAACCUAAUUUAUUCCCCUUACACCAUCGACUCAUAGAAUAUCUGCCUAGUUUCUAACAAGUCUGCACUUAACUGAAUCUUACUGCAAAAAAAAUGACAUGUGACCACAUAGUGUCCUUGCCUGCUGGUGGCCAAGUCUGUGCUCUGCAAAAAUAAUUAGCUUUAACUAUGGAUUAUAUUAAAAUCUAAAAGUUAAAUAGGAGGGCUUAUCUGUUUUAAAGCUCUGGGAAUCUAUGACAAUAUCACAUUCUGAACAGAUUUUCAUGUGUUACAUUUUAUACUGGAAAUGGAUGAAACCUAAAGUUGAUUGUCACAGUUGACUUCGACCACCUAUCAGCAUGAGGCUAAUGUGGGCUUACUAACCACUCUUAUUGUAGAUAAUACAUUCAUUUAGCGAUAGCCGAGCCAAGUAGAAGCUGAUGGUAUCUAUCUGGAUUAACAACAUAUAUCACAGAAUGUGAGCUCACUGCUCUAAACUCUGAAAUAUCCUAUCUAUAAGAUCAGCUAAUAAAAUAAAAAAAACAUUAACAGAGCACUCAGUAAUGGUGACAAUCUGUGAAUAAAACUGUUUAGUUGUGUAAUAAAUUUAUGCUACGCAUUGGUUACGUCCUGUUUCAAAGACACCAAACAUAGAAUUUGUAAGUUUCAUUUGUUAUCAGAUUUGUAUUCAUUAUCUGCAAUUGAAAGGCAUGGAUGGGGCCCCGACAGGCACACACACACACACACAUACAUACACAAACAGAUACAUACAUACAGACACAGACAGACACACACACAUACAAAGACACAUACACACAGAGACAGACCCACAGACACAUACAGAGACACAUACAUACACAGACACAUACACAGACAGACACAGACAGACACAUGGGCCCCUUGAACGUGCGGCACCUGCGGUUUGCUGCGCGGGCCGGGCCCGCAACACAUGGUGGUGGGCACCUGGUUGCAGGGGUCCGCAGGGUGGCUGGGCCCCCUGGAGUGGCAGGCCCGGUCACAGCUGCGACUGCGGUAUGUACCCCACUGUGUCAAUGCAAUUUUGUUUUUAUUCACUUUUCCAUUUCUUAUGCCCCUUGUUUCUUAACCUCUUAAGGACACAUGACAUGUGUGACAUGUCAUGAUUCCCUUUUAUUCUAGACGUUUCGUCCUUAGGGGGUUAAUGAAUAUACUUUCCCCAUUACCACUUGUCUUCAUUUAUAUUAAUUGUGUUUUUUAAUUGCUACAAAUCUCUAUAACAAAAUGCCACCAUUUUGGCAUCCUAUGUCCAUGAUGUCCCUUCUGUGGGAUUACUUUGAUUGUUGCAGUCUGGGUAAAUUAUAUUAGCAAAUAAAAUGAAACUCUGCUUAAGCUCCAACCAUUGCAAAAACUGACAAAAAGCAUGCUCCCCUUAAGAAAAAAAAAGUUUUGUUUUUUUCCCAUUAAAAACCUAAACCUGCAAAGUGACAUAGCCACUUUAACUGUGAAAUGGACUUCUGGGGCCGAAAAACAUGGUGCAUUGAAAUGUGCUCUAUGUGCUAGACGUAUGUUGGCUAUGCUGAUUUUUCAUAAUAUUUAAUUACAAAUUAAUCUUUUAUGGCAGUAUAGAAGUUAAGGAUAUAGAUCCAUGGAUCUUUUUGUUCCAGAUCUAUGCAGCAAAUUGAACUUCCACAAGAAAAUAUUACUCCACAAAUGGGCUCUAGAGCCUUUAUACCAGGCAUAGGCAACCUUCGGCACUCCAGAUGUUUUGGACUACACCUCCCAUGAUGAUUUGCUAACAUGAGGGGUGUAAGAGCAUUAUGGGGGAUGUAAUCCACAACAUCUGGAGUGCCGAAGGUGGCCUAUGCCUGCUUUAUACUAACAUUUAUUAGGAAGACCUUUCAGAUGAAUGUGCAAAAACAAUAAAACCACUUGUUAAUGUUUCCAUCUCUCAUAUGCUUUAGAAAAUACCUGAUGACCAAAGGAACUCAUACCAGUCUGAGGAUUUAUACUUAUUUCAGAGGAACAAAUAGAAAUAAAUAGAAAGACACAUUUUGUACCUGGUAAACUUUAGUAUGGGAAAGUGCAUUCUUCAACUGGGGGAUAGCACUGAAUCCCACUUCCUGUAUGUCACCUAAACUGUGCUUCCUAUGAGGGGGUAACCCUAAAAUAACUAAGUAGGAAUAUGAGAAUCCCAAUACCCCCCUCCUCUUCUACAUGCUAAGGGCUGCUAAUGCCCAAAUACCCACUGUUCAGUAGAUAUACCCCCAAUAAUAAAAACAUGCAUGCAUUUAAUUAUGCAUUCUUAUAUUGUGGGUUUAUCUAAAAACUGCUUGCAAAAGCUGCAGAUCUUAUGUCUAAAGCCUUUGCAAGCCCUCCCCAUCUAACACAGACAAGUUUGCCCUUGUCAUGUUCUUCAGCCAAAAUGACUAAGAACGCUUUUCAGUAAAUUAUUUAGUACCCCACAAAUGACCAAACUUAAAGGGAUACUAUAGUGUCAGGAAUACAAACAUGUAUUCCUGGCACUAUAGUGGUUAACUAACUAUUUAGGUGACCAGCCCCCCUCGGAUCGCAUGGAAAAGGUUUUAAACUGACCUUUUUUUUCCAUGCCAUGCCAUCUUGCGCCAGCUAGCCCUCUGGCUCUGCCUCCAUGGCUGAGAUCAUCAAUCUGCGCCAAUCAGCUUCUCCUCAUAGAGAUGUAUUAUAUCAGUGUGUCUGUGAGGAAGAUUCAGUGCCUCCAUGCAUAGGUUGGACACUCUGAACGCCAGCGCUGCAUUCUUUCAUUUCUCCUGAUCAAUAAAUGCCUCCCCUUUGCUGACUUCCAGGUGCAAAGGAGUCAGUUUAUAGGAAUAAUUGACAGGGAGCUAAAAUGGAGGUGCCAAGUUUCAGGAUAAAAAAGAUGUAGAUUUGUACUUCCACUUCUCACAAAUCACAAUUAUCUACUUGUUUAACAUAGGGGAUUAGUAAACAUAAUAUGGAAAUUCCAGGGAAGUGACACUUCCCCAUGAAGCCUUUUGACACCUGGGUGGAUGAAAUUAUUAAUCCCAAUUGCAGCAAUUACUGCUAGGCUGCCCUUGCCAUUUCAUUUUUAUAUUAAUUAUGUAGCUGCUUGGAUAAUUUAGAGGGAAUUGCUCCAGUUUUUUUCACUAAACAAAGACUUUAUUUGCUAAGUAGCAGUCACGGAUAGUCAUAAGCAGCCAUCUUAGGUGAACCAGGUCUACUUGUCAAUUUCUGACAUGACACAGAGGGAGGGGCUUGAUAUUCUCUAUCUUACAAAUUAACUAGCUUUGUGAACCCCAGAAUACCUGUAUGUAAUAUACAAGUUUAUUCUUAUUAUAUAAAAUAUUUUUUAUUGAAGCAUUGGACCAUGAUUGGACCUUUCAUACCACCACACCUAAUGUAUCAACAUGAUACUUUAAGUUACACGGUUUUGAAGUAUCUACUAUCCAUUUUGUUAUGGCACAAAUAAAAGGAAACGGAGAGCACUUUAAAUUCUACUCUAGAUCAUUUGUUUUCUCUGCUUGUCUUUCAAUCUUUGGCACAGUUUGUCAGACCGUAAGUCUCUGCUUGUUGCCUGUCUUCAUGCAAUUGUCUUGCGGCCUGUUCAUAUUUUAAAACCCACAUUUGACUCAUAAUCUAAUAUAUUGUCUUUGUGUUUGUUUAUAUAUGUAUAACUUUCUCCAUUUGUUUAUAUGGUGACUAUUAUACAAACUGAGUCAAGAAGAAAUAGGGACCACCCAUGUUAAUUUACACAUCAAAGACCCUCAUAGUGUGUUAAUGAUUGAGUGGUAGGGUAUCUAUAUCCUAGAUACACCCAUUUGGUGAUAUUAAUAUAUUAAGUUUGGUUCCUGAAGGUCUAAAACCAAGAAAAAAACCUUUAAUGUAAGUAUAUGUGUGUAUGUUUUCACUCCGUUUGUAUUGGUUUUGAAUGCUGUAUAUAGAGUCACUGAACAUAAAAGGUGAUAUUGCGCAAACUCAUUUUGGAUAAUGUUAGGGCUGGAUAUUCUAAAUCUGUAAUCUAUAAUUUUAUCCUUAAUGUUGCAGAUGUGUUUUUUAGUUUGCAUUUCACGGUUUGGUGAAUAAUCCUUGGCUUUGUCUUGUUUUGUUUUUUACCGUCACAAACUUUUCUUUGUUGGAAUUUGCAAUUCCCUGGUGAAUUGCUAACAAUGCUUGACUUAGCGAAAAGCAUAGUCUUCAAAUAUAUGUUUCAGACACCUGGAACUGAAAUUAGGGACUUAAAAGGAUCACUGAAAAAAAUAUAUCACACAAAGUCAUCUAAGGACAGCUUUUGAUUUAUUGAAAAACACAGGUUUAUGACUUACAACUGACAAUGGUAGUUAAUGUCUGUUAGUUAUUCGUUGAAGCAUGCUUCUAUUUGAUAAAAGAAUUUGUUAAUUUAAUACUCUUUUCUCUCUUCAGGUUGAAGCUAUGCUGCCAGCAGAACCUGUUUCACAGGAGACAGGUGCAGUAACUAACAGGACCUUAAAUGACUUUCUUGGAAAGCGCCAUAAUGCUUUUAUCCUAUGUAUGCAGAAUUUUGAAAGAAUGAAAGCUUCUUCUGCCAAAUUUUACCAAUAAAAAAAAAUAGAGCUAUUAAAACACAUAUGUUGUUCAGUAUGGAGUAAUGUUUGUUUCAGCCCUCCAUACCUCUCAAAAUGUCAAAUGGACAAAGAGGGACAUUUUCAUUUUAGGGCUUACUGAUAAUAAUUUUUGCAAUUUCAAUCUAAUUUCAAACAAGAACAAUGCAUCUUAUUUACACCGACUGAUUUCUAAACACAAUUAUAGUUAAAAAAUGUUUCAAAAAAAAAACAUUACCCUACGUGUUAUUGCUGUGGAGCUCUGUUAAAAAAUAUGGAGCAGCUAGACAAGAGGGAUAGUGGAAUAGAAAAGAGGGACAGAUGGAUUUGGGCCUUAAAUAGGGACUGUCCCAUCUACAGAGAGGCAUCAUCGGUAUUCAAAGUUUUGAUAAAUGUCCUGUAGCAGAGAAUGACGUUUUGUAACUUCAGUUCAUAUGAGCCUUGUUUAGCAUCUUAAAAGUAGCAACACCUGAAAAACUACUGCUGCUACUUAUUUAGGGAUCCUUAAAGCUUAUAUCUGUAGUAUGUACAGGUAGUCAUUCUAUUAUUGUGUUUUUUAUAUUUCCCCACAGAACAGAAAAUGUAAAAAGAGCCUCUAAUUUGACUUAUCACUACUGAUAUUUCAAGAAUUUCUUAAUUAAUAUGUGGGGAUGAGAUGGCGAGCCAUUGAAUUCUGGGAUUUAUUUCCUGCUACAACAGAGAAGGUCUGAGAUCCCUUGGAAAAAGGCAAUAGCCGAAACAUUGGGGAGGCUUGGUUUCCAGCCCUAGGUCACUAUACAUGGUAACAUAUCUAACGGGUAAUCAGCUUGCACUUUAUUGUUAUUAGUGGGUAGUGUAUACACUUGUCUAUUAUGCACUUUAUAUUGUAUAUCAAUUGUCUGGUGUAUUGAUUGUAUCAAAUAAAAUCUUUUCUUUUUGCAUAAA